This is a small nuclear RNA of Moschus moschiferus (Siberian musk deer), 107 nucleotides long. NCBI's taxonomy places the organism in Eukaryota, Metazoa, Chordata, Mammalia, Artiodactyla, Moschidae. The record is from Ensembl.
GUGCUGGCUUUGGCAGCACAUAUACUAAAAUUGGAACCACUGAGAGAAUAUUAUCAGGGGCCCUGCUCAAGAAUGACUCCCAAAUUUGUGAAGCCUUCCAUAUUUUU